GACGAACGCUGGCGGCGUGCUUAACACAUGCAAGUCGAGCGAUGAAGUUUUUUCGGAAAUGGAUUAGCGGUGAACGGGUGAGGAACACGUGAAGAAUCUGCCCUCCACUUUGGGAUAACACAGGGAAACCUGUGCUAAUACCGAAUAUUGAAACAUAAGUGGCAUCACUGAGUUUUGAAAGAAUUUCGGUGGAGGAUGACUUCGCGGCCUAUCAGCUAGUUGGUGAGGUAAUGGCUCACCAAGGCAACGACGGGUAGCCGGCCUGAGAGGGCGACCGGCCACACUGGGACUGAGACACGGCCCAGACUCCUACGGGAGGCAGCAGUGGGGAAUAUUGGGCAAUGGAGGAAACUCUGACCCAGCGACGCCGCGUGCGGGAUGAAGGCCUUCGGGUUGUAAACCGCUUUCAGUAGGGAAGAAGCGAAAGUGACGGUACCUACAAAAGAAGCACCGGCUAACUAUGUGCCAGCAGCCGCCGCAG
RNAcentral lists this ribosomal RNA (481 nucleotides) under uncultured bacterium. Its description in RNAcentral is "partial 16S ribosomal RNA". It matches the Rfam family "Bacterial small subunit ribosomal RNA", at positions 28 to 523 of the family's 1533-position model. The record is from RNAcentral.